Balaenoptera musculus (blue whale) is the source of this 107-nucleotide small nuclear RNA. The record is from Ensembl. Lineage: Eukaryota; Metazoa; Chordata; Mammalia; Artiodactyla; Balaenopteridae.
GUGUUCACUUCGACAGCACAUAUUCUAAAAUUGGAAUGCUACAGAGAAGAUAAGCAUGGCCCCUGCACAAAGAUGAUAGGGAAAUACAUAAAGUGUUCCAUAUUUUA